This 254-nucleotide ribosomal RNA is filed under the name uncultured bacterium. RNAcentral's name for it is "partial 16S ribosomal RNA". It matches the Rfam family "Bacterial small subunit ribosomal RNA", at positions 524 to 776 of the family's 1533-position model. The record is from RNAcentral.
UACGGGGGGGGCAAGCGUUGUUCGGAAUUACUGGGCGUAAAGGGCGCGUAGGCGGCCAGCACAAGUCAGUUGUGAAAUCUCCGGGCUUAACUCGGAAAGGUCAACUGAUACUGUGCGGCUAGAGUGCGGAAGGGGCAACUGGAAUUCUCGGUGUAGCGGUGAAAUGCGUAGAUAUCGAGAGGAACACCUGCGGCGAAGGCGGGUUGCUGGGCCGACACUGACGCUGAUGCGCGAAAGCCAGGGGAGCGAACGGG